Long non-coding RNA from Brachypodium distachyon (stiff brome), 490 nucleotides. RefSeq lists it as uncharacterized. The record is from RefSeq and is a predicted model, not a curated record. Lineage: Eukaryota; Viridiplantae; Streptophyta; Magnoliopsida; Poales; Poaceae. The transcript is spliced from 2 exons.
UGCCUGAGUAUAUAAACACUACACAUUUACUACGCGCAUCCCAUCGAUCCCUCUUGACUCAAUCACUCAAACUGUGUUCUUCUCAUCAGAGAGAUUGAUUAAUUAAUAAUGGGUAGAGCCAUGGCGGCGGUGGUCAUGGACGAGCAGAAGGCGGCGUGGCCGGAGGUGGUCGGGCUAAGCUCCAGGAUGGCGGCGAGGAAGAUCCACGGCGACCGGCCGGACGUGUCGCUGGAGUUCCACCUGGUGGGCGACAACGUGCCGCCGAGCUUCGACGCCCACCGCGUCCGCAUCUUCCUCUCUCCGGCCACCGCCAAAGUCGCCCAGACGCCCGUCGUCGGCUAGCCGUCCGUCGGUCGUCAACGUUGCCGGCAUGCUGCUGCAGACUCUGCUCUAAUAUGGGUGUACCACUACUGUUUUUGCACUACUUAUAGUGUAAUACUGGAAUAAUGACGACGAUGCAUAUAUAGUAUGGACGAUGCGUUUUCGAUUA